GCAUACGGGGGGCAGCAGUAGGGAAUCUUCCACAAUGGGCGAAAGCCUGAUGGAGCAACGCCGCGUGGGUGAAGAAGGUCUUCGGAUCGUAAAACCCUGUUGUUAGAGAAGAAAGUGCGUGAGAGUAACUGUUCACGUUUCGACGGUAUCUAACCAGAAAGCCACGGCUAACUACGUGCCAGCAGCCGCGGUAAUACGUAGGUGGCAAGCGUUAUCCGGAUUUAUUGGGCGUAAAGGGAACGCAGGCGGUCUUUUAAGGCUGAUGGGAAAGCCUUCGGCUUUACCGGAGGAGGGCAUUGGAAACG
This 305-nucleotide ribosomal RNA is filed under the name uncultured bacterium. Its description in RNAcentral is "bacterial SSU rRNA". It matches the Rfam family "Bacterial small subunit ribosomal RNA", at positions 337 to 634 of the family's 1533-position model. The record is from RNAcentral.